RNAcentral lists this ribosomal RNA (481 nucleotides) under uncultured bacterium. RNAcentral describes it as "partial 16S ribosomal RNA". It matches the Rfam family "Bacterial small subunit ribosomal RNA", at positions 28 to 507 of the family's 1533-position model. The record is from RNAcentral.
GACGAACGUUGGCGGCGUGCUUAAUACAUGCAAGUCAACUGAAGCAGUGGUAGCAAUAUCGCUGUGGAGGUGGCGCACGGGUGAGUAACACGUAGGUAAUCUGCCUUCAGGUCUGGCAUAACUCCGGGAAACCGGGGCUAAUAGCAGAUGAUGCAGCGGCUCGACAUCGAGACAGUUGUUAAAGCUAUGGCGCCUGAAGAUGAGCCUGCGUCUGAUUAGCUAGUUGGCGGGGUAACGGCCCACCAAGGCAACGAUCAGUGGCUGGUCUGAGAGGAUGAUCAGCCACACUGGAACUGAGACACGGUCCAGACUCCUACGGGAGGCAGCAGUAAGGAAUAUUGCUCAAUGGGAGAAAUCCUGAAGCAGCAACGCCGCGUGAGGGACGAAGGGCUUUUGCUUGUAAACCUCUGUAGUGAGAGAAAAAAAUCCCAAUCUUUGGGACAUGAUGGUAGCUCAAAAGUAAGCCCCGGCUAACUACGUG